RNAcentral lists this transfer RNA (50 nucleotides) under Tetrastigma nitens. RNAcentral's name for it is "partial tRNA-Phe". The record is from RNAcentral. Lineage: Eukaryota; Viridiplantae; Streptophyta; Magnoliopsida; Vitales; Vitaceae.
AUUUUUAAUUGACAUAGACCAAGUCCUCUAGUAAAAUGAGGGCAUCGGGA